This 237-nucleotide unclassified non-coding RNA is filed under the name Hevea brasiliensis (rubber tree). Lineage: Eukaryota; Viridiplantae; Streptophyta; Magnoliopsida; Malpighiales; Euphorbiaceae. The record is from RNAcentral.
UCACUUCCAGGAAAGAAGAGCUAAGCGUUCCACUCCUAAGCCUAUUCCUAUUCUUCCCAUCUCGAAGGGCUAAUUCAUAGCAGGAAAGAUCAUAUGCUACGGCAUCUACUACUCUGUACUUACCCGGCAAAGUCCUUACUACUCAUACUAUGGGUCACCCUUUUCUUUUUUUCUUUCUCAUAGGGCCCUCAUCCAAGAGCGCGAAUUUCUGAUUGUCAGGGCGGCCUCCAGCAUCCG